This 178-nucleotide long non-coding RNA is filed under the name Sarcophilus harrisii (Tasmanian devil). RNAcentral's name for it is "lncRNA (ENSSHAG00000026713.1)". Lineage: Eukaryota; Metazoa; Chordata; Mammalia; Dasyuromorphia; Dasyuridae. The record is from RNAcentral.
GCCCACUGGUCUUAUCCCGGGGCUCCUGAAGCUCAGCAGCACACUGGAGCCAGAGCCGGAGAGGGCCAGAGGGCAGAGGGAGACCAUAUCUGACCUUGCCUUGGGGGGGAGCACUUACCACUUGGAGUCACUGCUGGUGACCGCCAACCGGAGCAGCCUAUGCCAGGCUCAGGAGGGC